GCAGUCGAGCGGUAACAGGAAUUAGCUUGCUAAUUUGCUGACGAGCGGCGGACGGGUGAGUAACGCGUAGGAAUCUGCCUGGUAGUGGGGGACAACAUGUGGAAACGCAUGCUAAUACCGCAUACGCCCUACGGGGGAAAGGAGGGGAUCUUCGGACCUUUCGCUAUCAGAUGAGCCUGCGUGAGAUUAGCUAGUUGGUGGGGUAAAGGCUCACCAAGGCGACGAUCUCUAGCUGGUCUGAGAGGAUGAUCAGCCACACUGGGACUGAGACACGGCCCAGACUCCUACGGGAGGCAGCAGUGGGGAAUAUUGGACAAUGGGCGCAAGCCUGAUCCAGCCAUGCCGCGUGUGUGAAGAAGGCCUUAGGGUUGUAAAGCACUUUCAGGAGUGAGGAAGGGUGUACGGUUAAUACCUGUAUAUCUUGACGUUAGCUUCAGAAGAAGCACCGGCUAACUCUGUGCCAGCAGCCGCGGUAAUACAGAGGGUGCGAGCGUUAAUCGGAAUUACUGGGCGUAAAGCGCGCGUAGGCGGUUUGUUAAGUCGGAUGUGAAAUCCCAGGGCUCAACCUUGGAAUUGCACCCGAUACUGGCAAGCUAGAGUACGGUAGAGGGGUGUGGAAUUUCCUGUGUAGCGGUGAAAUGCGUAGAUAUAGGAAGGAACAUCAGUGGCGAAGGCGACACCCUGGACCGAUACUGACACUGA
Molecule: ribosomal RNA, 702 nt
Filed under: uncultured Marinomonas sp.
Lineage: Bacteria; Pseudomonadati; Pseudomonadota; Gammaproteobacteria; Oceanospirillales; Oceanospirillaceae
Description: bacterial SSU rRNA
Rfam family: Bacterial small subunit ribosomal RNA
Source: RNAcentral